CGUAACAAGGUAGCUGUAGGGGAACCUGCUGCUGGAUCAUUA
Molecule: ribosomal RNA, 42 nt
Filed under: Pratylenchus penetrans
Lineage: Eukaryota; Metazoa; Nematoda; Chromadorea; Rhabditida; Pratylenchidae
Description: partial 18S ribosomal RNA
Source: RNAcentral